RNAcentral lists this ribosomal RNA (450 nucleotides) under uncultured bacterium. Its description in RNAcentral is "bacterial SSU rRNA". It matches the Rfam family "Bacterial small subunit ribosomal RNA", at positions 354 to 796 of the family's 1533-position model. The record is from RNAcentral.
GUGGGGAAUAUUGGACAAUGGGGGAAACCCUGAUCCAGCGACGCCGCGUGUGUGAAGAAGGCCUGCGGGUUGUAAAGCACUUUUAGUGGGGACAAAAAGCCAAAGGCUAAUACCUUUUGGUCUUGAUUUAACUCACAGAAAAAGCACCGGCUAACUCUGUGCCAGCAGCCGCGGUAAUACAGAGGGUGCGAGCGUUAAUCGGAAUUACUGGGCGUAAAGCGCGCGUAGACGGUUUUGUAAGUCAGAUGUGAAAUCCCCGGGCUCAACCUGGGAACUGCAUUUGAUACUGCAUGGCUAGAGUACGGUAGAGGGAAGCGGAAUUUCCGGUGUAGCGGUGAAAUGCGUAGAUAUCGGAAGGAACACCAGUGGCGAAAGCGGCUUCCUGGACCAGUACUGACGUUCAUGUGCGAAAGCGUGGGGAGCAAACAGGAUUAGAUACCCGUGUAGUCC